RNAcentral lists this non-coding RNA (24 nucleotides) under Arabidopsis thaliana (thale cress). Lineage: Eukaryota; Viridiplantae; Streptophyta; Magnoliopsida; Brassicales; Brassicaceae. The record is from RNAcentral.
GUGGUUGCAGCCUUCACCCCGAUC